UUAUUAAAUAUUAUUAAAUAUUUUAUAAGAAUAUAAAUGUUUAAUUUUUUAUAUUAAAAAAUAUAUCAGAUCAAGGUGCAGUUUAUAAUAAAGAAGAAAUGGGUUACAAUAAAUUUAUUUAAAUGGAUAAGAAUAUAAAAAUUUUUUAGAAGGUGGAUUUGAAAGUAAUAAUAUUAAAAUUAAUUUUAUGAUUUWAGCUCUAAAAUGUGUACAUAUCGCCCGUCGCUCUUAUUAUAAGAUAAGAUAAGUCGUAACAAAGUAGAUGUACUGGAAAGUGUAUCUA
This 283-nucleotide ribosomal RNA is filed under the name Nebrioporus elegans. Its description in RNAcentral is "partial 12S ribosomal RNA". The record is from RNAcentral. Lineage: Eukaryota; Metazoa; Arthropoda; Insecta; Coleoptera; Dytiscidae.